CACAGAGGGUGCUAGCGUUGUUCGGAUUCAUUGGGCGUAAAGGGUGCGUAGGCGGCGCGGUAAGUCGGGUGUGAAAUCUCGGAGCUUAACUCCGAAACUGCAUUCGAUACUGCCGUGCUUGAGGACUGGAGAGGAGACUGGAAUUUACGGUGUAGCGGUGAAAUGCGUAGAUAUCGUAAGGAAGACCAGUGGCGAAGGCGGGUCUCUGGACAGUUCCUGACGCUGAGGCACGAAGGUCAGGGGAGCAAACGGG
This 253-nucleotide ribosomal RNA is filed under the name uncultured bacterium. RNAcentral's name for it is "partial 16S ribosomal RNA". It matches the Rfam family "Bacterial small subunit ribosomal RNA", at positions 524 to 776 of the family's 1533-position model. The record is from RNAcentral.